AUUGAACGCUGGCGGCAGGCUUAACACAUGCAAGUCGAACGAGUGGCGGACGGGAGAGUAAUGUCUGGGAAACUGCCUGAUGGAGGGGGAUAACUACUGGAAACGGUAGCUAAUACCGCAUACUCUCGGAUGUGCCCAGAUGGGAUUAGCUAGUAGGUGGGGUAAAGGCUCACCUGGGCGACGAUCCCUAGCUGGUCUGGGAGGAUGACCAGCCACACUGGAACUGAGACACGGUCCAGACUCCUAAGGGAGGCAGCAGUGGGGAAUAUUGCACAAUGGGCGCAAGCCGGAUGCAGCCAAGCCGCGUGUAUGAAGAAGGCCAUCGGGUUGUAAAGUACGUUCAGCUGGGAGGCGUUACCCGCAGAAGAAGCACCGGCUAACUCCGUGCCAGCAGCCGCGGUAAUAC
RNAcentral lists this ribosomal RNA (406 nucleotides) under uncultured bacterium. RNAcentral describes it as "partial 16S ribosomal RNA". It matches the Rfam family "Bacterial small subunit ribosomal RNA", at positions 30 to 526 of the family's 1533-position model. The record is from RNAcentral.